This 422-nucleotide ribosomal RNA is filed under the name uncultured Clostridium sp. Its description in RNAcentral is "bacterial SSU rRNA". It matches the Rfam family "Bacterial small subunit ribosomal RNA", at positions 355 to 794 of the family's 1533-position model. Lineage: Bacteria; Bacillati; Bacillota; Clostridia; Eubacteriales; Clostridiaceae. The record is from RNAcentral.
UGGGGAAUAUUGCACAAUGGGGGAAACCCUGAUGCAGCGACGCCGCGUGAAGGAUGAAGUAUUUCGGUAUGUAAACUUCUAUCAGCAGGGAAGAAGAUGACGGUACCUGACUAAGAAGCCCCGGCUAACUACGUGCCAGCAGCCGCGGUAAUACGUAGGGGGCAAGCGUUAUCCGGAUUUACUGGGUGUAAAGGGAGCGUAGACGGCGAUGCAAGCCAGAUGUGAAAGCCCGGGGCUCAACCCCGGGACUGCAUUUGGAACUGCGUGGCUGGAGUGUCGGAGAGGCAGGCGGAAUUCCUAGUGUAGCGGUGAAAUGCGUAGAUAUUAGGAGGAAUACCAGUGGCGAAGGCGGCCUGCUGGACGAUGACUGACGUUGAGGCUCGAAAGCGUGGGGAGCAAACAGGAUUAGAUACCCUGGUAGU